This 133-nucleotide ribosomal RNA is filed under the name uncultured bacterium. RNAcentral's name for it is "partial 16S ribosomal RNA". The record is from RNAcentral.
CGGAGUUAGCCGGCGCUUAUUCCUAAGGUACCGUCACUAUCUUCCCUUAGAAAAGAGCUUUACGACCCAAAGGCCUUCUUCACUCACGCGGUAUCGCUGCGUCAGGGUUGCCCCCAUUGCGCAAAAUUCCCCA